AAAGCAUAUAAAAUUCAAUUAUAAGUGUUUAGUUUCCAUAUGGUCAGUCAUAAGAUACUGAGACCAAAACCUGACGCAUGUGUGAAGGAACUAAAGGUGGUCAGGUAUAAGACCUUCCAACUAGAGAUAAAGCAUUUAUUUCUAUUGCAUAUAGUCUUGCUUAUUUUAUUUUGGCUCUUAGUAUUGUCACUUUGGGUGAAAUAGCUAAAAUUUUUUUAAGAAAAUAAUUCCACGUUUGCUCAGUGGCCAAAAACUAUAUUUUAACUCCUGACAGACUACAUAAAAAUAUGUGUGCCUUUGGUCCCCGGAGGAACCAAAUGGCUCAGUCGGCACAAUUCAUCAUUACUACUGGAAAAAAUAACUCAGCAUGCCUGCCCUGCUUGGUGGUGAGUCAGUGGCAUCAUAUUUAUAUACUGACAGCAAUUUUUUUUCUUUUUAGGAAUUACCCUCUCUAUCCUGUGCCAAAACACAGAGCAGUGAGAUUAAAUUAGGUAUCAGUGCUUUAAAGAGCAAAGGCUAUUAUUUUAAAUUAUUAAUUCAUUUUAAAAGGUCAAGUAUGGUUUACCUUAGGUGCUGAGGUGAUGACAGAGGUCAAUAUGAUGAUGGUCUUGAUCUUGGGGAGCUAAUAUCUUAUGGAAAAUAUAAAAUGUACUUAAGUAAUAUUUUCAACACAAAAUACUGAGUUAUUGGUAAUAUUCAGUGGGAGUUCACUGGGAGGAAUGAGAAUGAAUACUUAUGAUUGGAAGAGAUUUUUUUGCAUAUUUAUUCAGCAGUUUGAAUACUACUAUAUUUUAGUAGGAAUUUUUAAUGAGGAGAUUUGAUUAUAACUGACUGAUCCAGUAGUCCAGCAGAAAUUUACUGAACAAUUAGAAUAAGCGAGAUGUUUAAAUGAAUAAGAAAUGACUAACAUACAUUUUGUUUCAUGAGCCAGUCGUGAUCCCAUGGAGGGAGACAGACAAAUAUCAAAUAUUUGCAGCAACAUGUAAGUGUUAUAAUGCAUCCGUAAAGGAUACAAUUUUUUUCUUACAGUGUAUAUUUGCUUUAAGUAUUUAUAUGUAUUUUUUGGGUCAAAGCAUUCAAUAGUUGCUUUCAUUCAAACUAGAAGGCCCAUCACAUUCUCUCAUUACAAAGUUUUCACUUGUCAAAUCAAUAAGCCAAAUGAGACUUAACUUCAGGUAAGAAAAAGUAUGACUUCUUUUUUCAGUUUAAAUAAACUAACUACACCUCCUUUCCCUAGUAUCUCAUUUCUGAUUCUUCAGUCUAAGAUAAAUGGACUCAUUGAUAAAUAGUCUGACUUACAGAUAAAGUCAUGGAGUCUGUCCACAAGUUAGCGGCCUGAUAAACUAAAACUGCUGCCUUCCCUAUUUCUUGCCUUAUUCUUACAUGAUUCUCCCCCAGAGGAAAGCUCUCAGUUUUCUCCAGUUACUUGGCGCUCAAGAGUUCUUUAAGCCCUGGCCAGUGCGUCAUUGUAAGAUUUGUAAACUGGAGAAGAUCAUUUGUGAAAGAGAAAAUGGAGGUGGCAAAGAAGGGUGGUCCACGGAGUAUUCUGAAGGAGAUAGUUUUAGGAAAGAGGAGACUUGAACAUUGAGGAUCUGAAAAUUGAUUCUUAUGACAUUAUUCAUACCCAUGUGCACCCUGGAAUGACUUUGCGUUUUCAAAAUGAUUCAUGAAAGACAGGUUACGAAGUGUAAGUAAAAUUUUCCUAGAUGAGGAGGGAAAAGAAGACAGUUCAGAUAGUUCAGAGAAUACACAGAAAGUCUUGAAAAAAUUAUGAUCUAUUCACGAAAAGUAGAAAUCCUCAUUGUGUCUUCGGGAUACAGUUAUGAUGUAGGAGUGGCAGAAGGUGAGACUAGAAAGCAGAUUAGGUUCUGUUUGUGAAAAACUUUUCAUGCUAUUCUAGUAAUAUCUAAUUUAGAUUUUACCUAUGCAGGCAGAAGGAAGACACAGUGACCUUUUAGCUAGGAGGUGGUAUUACAGGCAGUUAAUUUAUAUGGCAGAGUGAAGGAUGGAGUGGGUAAAUUUGAAGAUGAGAAAGAAAGCAGACACAGUUGGGAGGCUUUAUCCAUUCGUUUUUAAUUUAAUUUAAUUAAUUCAUUUAUUUAGUUUAUUUAUUUAUGUAUUUAUUGAUUUGAAACACGGCCUCUUUGUCACCAGGGCUGAAGUGCAGUGGUGUGAUCAUGCCUCACUACAGCGUCAAAUUUAUCCAUUUAAAAAUGAACAGUAUUUUCCUCUAUCUCUGAAACUGGGAUGCAAUUGAUGACAAGUUAUAAAUUUAUUGGUGGUAGUUUUUUCUUUCCUAGAGAUACACAAAUUAAUGAUAUAUUUUAAAGUUAGUGAAAAAUGUAAUUCAAGUAAAGACGAUGUUGGCACUAAAAGUAGAAACUGCAGAUGGGGAUAGAUAGAAUUUUAGAGAUAUUUCUAGAGAAGAAAAAUCUGGUUGACAUAUUAAAAAUUUCUAGACUUAGGAUUAAAUGCUUCUAAAGAUUGUUAGAGCUUAAGGUUUAUGAAUUGUUGAGGCAUUUAUGAUUCAGCCACAAAAUAGAUUAAAAAAUAAUCCAGAUCUCAUGGAAUCACUGGUUUGAGCUCUGAGACCUUAAUCAAUUUUGUUUUAAUAUAGAAGGAACUGGGUAUUUAGCCACCUACCUCUAUAUACCUCAAUACUGGUGAUAAAUGGUUCCAAAUAUAAUUUUUAAAAAUGCCUUCCUUUUUUCAAUCUUUUGGGCUUUUUCUUCCAUAUUUUCCCAUUUAUUUUGUUACUACCUCAGUUAUCUUUUUGUCCUAUUUGCCUUAAAAACAACUACUACUCACAAAGCACUGUCUGCCUUUUGAUUUCCUCCUUUUCUACCUCUCCCCUUUCCUACUGCCCAUUUAUCCUCUGCAUUGUGGAUGAAACUGGGAAUAUAUACAGUACAGAAGGGAACAGUUAACAUUUGGCCCAAGGGUUAUAAUGGAGACUGACUUCUAAGGGCUCAAUUUUUAUAUAUGUAUGUGUGUGUGUGUGUGUGUGUGUAUAUAUAU
Molecule: long non-coding RNA, 3018 nt
Organism: Sapajus apella (tufted capuchin)
Lineage: Eukaryota; Metazoa; Chordata; Mammalia; Primates; Cebidae
Exons: 3
Source: RefSeq, a predicted model, not a curated record